This 956-nucleotide long non-coding RNA is filed under the name Phoenix dactylifera (date palm). RNAcentral's name for it is "long non-coding RNA (PDAC_LNC005808)". The record is from RNAcentral. Lineage: Eukaryota; Viridiplantae; Streptophyta; Magnoliopsida; Arecales; Arecaceae.
AAGCUUGUAUCCAGUCCCGAUCCUGAGUUUCACACAUGGUGACUUUGCCGUGUCGUAUGAAGUCUGGAUCUCGCUUUGCUGAUACCUAUGCUUCACAAAACUUGGCUCGCUGUCAAUCAAUGUCUCGAUCUUCAACUUCAGGCACUUCGACGUGGUUCCGGGGCUGUCAUGGAGUAUCUCCAACAAGCAAAAAUAAUUGCUGAUAACCUUGAUGCCAUUGGCAGGCUGUUGCAAUUUGAGGAGUAUCAGACUUAUAAAUUUGUGGACAGCUUACCAAUGGCACAAGACCGGGUCCAUCUAAUAAUUUCUCUCUGGAUCUCAUCAAAACUUGUCGGAUACAAGUAUUUUCAUUGGAUGGGAUGGAGUUCUGAGAAGUUCAAGCAAUUUUACUUGUUUCUGUUACACUCUUAUUUAGAAGGUGGCUAAAGUUCUGGUUACUGAGUAUACAAAUCAGGAGAACUGAAGGCAUAUGAAUGGAUUUCUAGCUUUCGUUACCGAUAAUUCCGAGGUUUCACUAAUCCUCUGCUUUUCCGUUGUUACUCCCAAGCAUUUUUUGAUUAAAUGCCAGAAUCAUUAUGAGGAGCUGCACCUAGAAACCUUGUUUAAAAAAAAAAAAAGCUUGCGCAUAUAUGUGGGAUGGAUCUCUCAUGAAAUAUACACAUUUUCAUGUAGGUACUCCUUGGAUAAGCAAACUGGCACAUACAACAAGAUCCAAAAUGUUGCAUCUGUGGGAAGCUGAAGGCAUAUGUGCAGUUUAGAUCAGUGUAAUCAGUGUUGAGAAAGUAGUUUUGAUGCAUAAGACCUCUCAGAGAUAAUUGUAUUGGUGAUGUGUGUAGCAGGAGUUUAAAGAAAAUUUAUGCAAAAAUAAUCUGACAUUUUAUGAAUUUUUUUUCACCAUGUUUUCCUUCUGAUGGAACACUGUGAAUAAGUUUGCGCUGUGUCAAUGUUAUCUGCCA